AUUAGAUAUUUUAUGCUCAGAUUCGGAGGAUAGGGGGUUACUAGUGACCUCAUAGUCGCAUGCAGGAGUGACUACCAGCUCUCAGACAUAGCACCGUGGUUGAGGACCUAUUCGGCUUUUGGCACCUUCGACUCAAUCAGAGGAUAGAGAGAUUAUCUAUAUCCAGAGCCAUCCAUAAGUACUACAUGCUCAAUUAAUAUGUUUAGAAUAUAGUAAUUUUAGAGUUAACAUUUAUUCUUUAAAAUUAAUUUUACAGCAUAUUCAGAGAGCCUUCUAUAUCUCAUGUCGUUAUCGAGAUCAUACGUCGAUUGAUGCC
This 316-nucleotide long non-coding RNA is filed under the name Elaeis guineensis (African oil palm). RNAcentral's name for it is "long non-coding RNA (EGUI_LNC076463)". Lineage: Eukaryota; Viridiplantae; Streptophyta; Magnoliopsida; Arecales; Arecaceae. The record is from RNAcentral.